UGGAAGGUCCACCUUUUUCACCAAUUUGUCAUCCGACAAUAAAAUUCAUUAGGAAUCCUUGAUCUCUCUAGCCAAAAUAGUAAUGAAUACAUAGUUCUUUUCCAAUUUUGCCUACCUCAUUAAGCACCCUAAAGCAGGUGCCAUAUAAGUCAUUCGUAGUGAGAUUAUUAUAGCUCGGUGGAAACUGGACAUAAGCAAUUUCAUGGCCCUUCUCUUCAUCCAUGAAAAAGCACAAGGCAUCUCUCACCGAUUCUGAAUUGUUGGAGUACAUGUCACAGUCCACAUUAAGAAUGAUCGAACCGUUGCUUAUCUUUGAUGACACCCUUAUCUGUUCACCCAAAUCAUAAUCACCCGUAUAAAAAAUGAUGCAAUAGGCCGAGGUGCAUUGGAGGAAAGCUCAACUGAUUUUAUGGAUUUAGGAUUCAUGUGUGUAGAGGCUAGAGCAAAGUUUUACCAGUGAAUUCAUAGCUCCAGCUUUAAAAUUGUGGUGGUAUUGGGGUCUCUUCUCCCGGGACAAGUAUACUAGAGUUGGCAAGGAUUGGCCUUCAACAUCCACAGCCUUGUCCUCUCUCCCAUCAAUUAGUAUCUGUUAUUCUAUAUUAUAUUAGUGAAAGAUGAAGCUCACAAAUAUAAAUGUUUUGAUUUUCAAGCACCUGAACAAUGGACUGAUGAUUAUACUGUGUAGAGACAUGGUUCCACUCUUGAAAUCCUUUGUGCUCCUUUCUUAUUUCUUCUGAAACCCUGCCCAGUCUAGUGGUGGUUUCAAUUCUAUUCUUCAUGUCUUCAUACGAUUUCUACAAUGAGAAAACAGAGUAAGGUGGUGUUUGUUUUUUUAGCUUUUUGUUGAAAACCAUUUAGUUUUAGAAUUUAGGUUGUUUGUUUUUUUACUUUUUUAUGACUUAUUAUAAACUUUUACUAAAUAGAAAAAGCCAAAAUAUGUGGCUUUUUCUAAAUAGAAAAAAUAGCACAAUGGUUUUUUUUACUUUUUAAUACUUAAUAGAAAUAAAAUACUACAAAAACAAACAACCUAAUAUUUAAUACUAUUAAGUAUUAAGGUUCUAUUUAGAAUUAAGUAAAAAAACAAACACCACCUAAGUGUUACACUGGAGCCAGAAAACCGAUAAAAGGCCUUAGUUAUAAUGGUUAAAGAUGAAAAAUUCGAGCACUGUGAGUGUAAAACUUACUGCCAAAGCUACAAAGCCUAAUGAAAAAUAAUUUGGUUAAAAUUCGUUCAUGAUAGUAGUAAAAGUGACAGACUUAAUAGAAUGCAUUUUAAGAUCAGAAUCCAAGUAUAAUCCUAAAAAAAGGUUCAAACCUAAUCUGUGUUGUCUUUGAAUUCCAACAUGACUGUUCAUUAUUUGUAAUAUAAUUUAGGAAGGAAAAAUAUCUGGAAGAAUAUGGGAAGCAAUGAUCUAAGCAUGGUGGGACCAGUAUAUGGAAGAGGGCUGAGGAUGUGAUCUCUUUAUAGUCUGUAGCAGAAAACAAAUUCAAUGACAGGACAGCUUUCUUCUUCUUGCUUCUUUCUUAGGUAAUUUGAAGCGAACAAUUUGUGUACAUUGCAUCUGAGUCUUAUUCCAACUUCAUUCAAUUUUUUUUUAUAACAAAUACUAGAAAGGUGGACCACCAACUCAGAGCAGCCAUGGAAGGAUAUCCUUAGUGCAAAAUUUAAAAACUAAAAAAAUUGAAAGAGAAAAGAAUGGCAAGGAAGAAGAACCAUUAUUGGGGAGGUUGAAUGAACUCAGGGCAGCCACGGAAAUAGUGCAGAUAUGUUAAAAAUAAAUGUUCAAACGGAAAUUAAUCUUAAACUAAAAUUCAUAGAAUCCAAAGAAAAAGAAACAGAGAAAGUUAUACCUUGAUGGAGAACCGAUCUUGAGCCAUGAGAGGAUUACUAUCAUGGGGUUUGGGAUUUGUGGAAAAAUAAGCAGCAGGUGACCUUGGUUCUAUACUGAACUUCCUGCAAAAUGGUAGCCAAUGUUUUGAGAAGCAAGAGGUCUCUAACAAGGCAUAGAAGGUCAGGUCUGAGCCUCCAUCAUCAGAGAGAUAGCCGCAUAAUUUUUGUGAUGGAUAAUUAUAAGCUAUUGAUUUUCGUGCAACGAUUCUUAGUGAAAAAUUAGAAAAAAAUGAAAAGAAAACACACAGAUUUAACGUGCUUCGAAAGAUUGCCUAUGUCCAUUGGAACACGGAAGAAGACUUUCACUAUAUUUCAAUUAGGGUUACAUAAAAAGGUAUUUAUAUUAACACUCAAGUAUUGAAAUUCUAAGAAUACCCUUGAACUAUACCAUGAAAUAUAAGUUUAAAGGGCAAAUGUCGUCGCUUUGCUCCGGAAUUGACCCAUUUUUUUCCAUGUCUUUCACUCAAUAUAAGUCACAUACUACAACAUAAGCCACGAAUGAUAAAACAGUGUUGAUGACCAUGAUGGGCAGCUCUAUUCUUGGUACUGCAGUGCACACAAAUAUGCCUAUGCCUGGAAAAGCGUUCUCGUAUCUGCAAUUAAGUUUCACAAUAGGCAAUUAGCAAGUGAAGAUGGAGGCAAGAAAAGGGAGAGGAAGAGAGAAAAGAUCACCUCUGAGAGAGCCUGUCUUUGAAGGUGUAGCGAUAGAUGGGGUUCCAUCUGACGAAUUGAGUGAUGAACCAGUACAAACUGAACCACAAUUCAGCUAAAGAUAAACCCAUCCAAGCCCAUCUUCUCAGCAGUUGUCCAUCUGCAGCUGGGAAGUGAACCACCCUAUAAAUACAGAUAAAAGUGAUGCCCACCAAAACUGAUGCUGCAUAGCAUCUGAAUAGUAUACGACCCCUAGCAGCUUUUGUUUCAAAGAGAGGAAGAUAGCCAUCUUUGCCCGUUGCUUCUGUCUUUCUCUGACCACCAUGUGAUCAGCUUAUAUAAAUAGUUUGGUUUGCAUUUUUCAUUUUAUUGUUGUUAUGGUCAAAACUUUACUUUGCCGCUUUAAAUGGCAUCAAAGAAAGGAGUAAAAACAAAUUAUCCCAUCUAAGCCCACACAUCUCUAAAUUGCUUUCCUCUUGUAAAUGAACCGAGCACAAAUAGAACAAGUACCCAUAAAGGUUGAAACUGGAUUAACUGUGAAACAAGAUUUGACCCUUUUCAGCCCUUGUUUCAAACAGAGGAAGAGAAACAUCUCUCUAGCUCUCAUGCUCUCAUACUCUCCCUCUGCUGUCUCAUGCAUUACCUUAUAUAACCUGCCCACUGUUUCCUUUAAAUUCAAGAAUGUUUCUAACAAGGAGACAAGGGAUAUUCAAGGUUUAAGCAUCCUCUGCAUGCACAAACAGAGUUCAUGUGCUCAUUCUUUUUUCCUUAAAAAUUUGCAAUUUCUGGACUCUCUGGUGACACCCUGAUGAACAGGGGUUUAAGCAAGAGGCUUGUAACAAAUUAAAAUGGGUACAUGAUUAAUAUCGAAGCCUUUAUACCUGGAGAAACAUAUACUAUCCAUUAUUGAAAAUUGAAACUGCAUCAGUUAUACAUAUAUAACAGUUCUUCAGAGCCUUAUAUAAUACAUAUAAAGUUGUGGCAAAGAGACUUUGCUUACUGAUACAGUAAACUAAUACAAGGCUAUUGAACAGGCCAACAGCGCUAAAGAAACUGAUUUGUAUGUGACUGAUGUUGGCAUGGUGCCCUUGUCCUUGCGGAAAAAGAGCCCUUGGUAUACAGGCAGGUUGAUGAGAACAAGAACCCCACAUAAGAUAAUCUGCAGAACUAAUGACUCCAAAGGUUUAAUUUGAAUAUCCACAACCACCCUCUUUACACCACAAACAAAACUGAACAGAUUGAGCAAUGCAAGUGUAGCUGAAAUGGUAAACAGUGGUGAAGGAGAACCAAACUCCAUGAUUUCUUGCUCGUAUCUUUGAGACACAUCUUCAUCACACACCUUUGCAGUGACAGCAAAAGUGGUCUCAGCAAAGCCUAGUAUCCUCAAGAUUGUAUCAAGGAAGGCAAAGAAGUAGGAAGUUGUCCUUCUGAACAUCCAUAUUCUUUGAUCAUUCCACCAACCUUGGAUUGUGCCACCAUACCAAUGAAACUCACCUAAGCUGUAUGCAUGCUUGGCAAUAAUGACAUAGGCAAAGGGAAGGACCCACAGGCUCCAUAUCUGAAAAAGUAACAUAAUUCAUUGCUGGGAACCAAAUAGCAUUUCAAUUGUUUGGAUACAGCAAAGUGUCAUGUCAGGACUUCUCUUUCUAAAAUGGAAGAAGAAAAGCACAUAGUUCUUUUCGAAGUAUUUAGGAAAAUCUAUCAUGUUCAGAAACUAAAUUUAUUGAGAAUAAUUUGAGAAAUUUUGCUAGCUAGUGAUCAUACAUUAUAGAACAAUGUUGCCUGUGCUUGACAGUAAGUAUUUUGCAGUUCUGUACUACUCAAAAGUUUUUAAGUUUGGAAGUAUCUGUUUAAAUGAUGUAAUGUUCAUACCUCUGGAAACAAGGAGAUGCCUCCAAGGAGACAAAGGGAUGGGACAGCAACAUAGCAUAGCAUAGCCAAGGAGUAUGCAGCCCACAGAUUAUAGAUAGAGUAUGCGAGUUGAAGUUUCAGAGGAACCUUUUUGUGUCCAUAUAUAAAUGGACAGUGUCUCGAGAGAAACAUCUGAAGGUGGCCUUCAGACCAUCUCUUAUGUUGUACUAGUGACUGCAACAGUGUUGUGGGCGCAACACCCAAGAAGCCCUUCCUUUCUGGAUUGACAUAGACGGAUUUCCAACCUCUACAUUGUAUUGAGAAUCCUGUGAUAAUGUCUUCCACUGCACAAUCAUACUUCACGCCCAUCUGCAAUUCAACAUAAAGAUUAAGUUUUUUAGCUUAAGAAAAGGAAAAAGCUUUACAGGCAGGAAAUUCAUGAGACAGAGACAGAAGAACCUCCUUUCCCCAUUGACUGUUCUCUUCAUAGGUACAACUUGCAAGGACCUUACAUGAUUCUUCUAGUACACUAGCACUUUCUCUUCCUCUUCUGUCAUUCUCUUUCUUCCAUUCUCUCUCACAUUCCUUGUCAUAUUUCAUUCCACACAGUGCCACUCUCCUAUGAAAGCACCCGGUACCAAUAUAGAAAGGUCCUCCAUUAGAAUCAAGGCCUGGAAGUUCCACCUUUUUCACCAGUCAUGCCAAAAGCCAACAAUAAAAUCAUUAGGAAGUCAUUGCUAAUGCCUACCUCCUCUAGGCCAAGCAGUAAGGAAUAAAUAAUUCUUUCCAAUCUUGCCUACCUGAAUAAUCACCCUAAAGCAGGUGCCAUAUAAGUCAUUCCUAGUAAGAUUAUCGUAGCACUGUGGAAACUGGACAUAAGCAAUUUCAUGGCCCUUCUCUUCAUCCAUGAAAAAACACAGAGCAUCUCUCACUGAUUCUGAAUUGUUGGAGUACAUGUCACAGUCCAC
RNAcentral lists this long non-coding RNA (5361 nucleotides) under Vitis vinifera (wine grape). Its description in RNAcentral is "long non-coding RNA (VVIN_LNC007690)". Lineage: Eukaryota; Viridiplantae; Streptophyta; Magnoliopsida; Vitales; Vitaceae. The record is from RNAcentral.